This 1480-nucleotide ribosomal RNA is filed under the name uncultured prokaryote. Its description in RNAcentral is "partial 16S ribosomal RNA". It matches the Rfam family "Bacterial small subunit ribosomal RNA". The record is from RNAcentral.
GAGUUUGAUCCUGGCUCAGGAUGAACGCUAGCGGCAGGCCUAACACAUGCAAGUCGAACGGUAACAGCAGAGCUUGCUCUGGCUGACGAGUGGCGCACGGGUGCGUAACGCGUAUACAAUCUACCUUUUACAGAGAGAUAGCCUUUAGAAAUGAAGAUUAAUACCUCAUAGUAUGAUAAUAAGGCAUCUUAUUAUUAUUAAAGCUUCGGCGGUAAAAGAUGAGUAUGCGUUCUAUUAGCUAGAUGGUGUGGUAACGGCACACCAAGACAACGAUAGGUAGGGGCCCUGAGAGGGGGAUCCCCCACACUGGUACUGAGACACGGACCAGACUCCUACGGGAGGCAGCAGUGAGGAAUAUUGGACAAUGGAGGCAACUCUGAUCCAGCCAUGCCGCGUGCAGGAAGACUGCCCUAUGGGUUGUAAACUGCUUUUAUACAGGAAGAAACACUCUCACGUGUGAGAGUUUGACGGUACUGUAAGAAUAAGGACCGGCUAACUCCGUGCCAGCAGCCGCGGUAAUACGGAGGGUCCGAGCGUUAUCCGGAAUCAUUGGGUUUAAAGGGUCCGUAGGUGGAUAAUUAAGUCAGAGGUGAAAUCUUGCAGCUCAACUGUAAAAUUGCCUUUGAUACUGGUUAUCUUGAGUUAUUAUGAAGUAGUUAGAAUAUGUAGUGUAGCGGUGAAAUUCAUAGAUAUUACAUAGAAUACCAAUUGCGAAGGCGGAUUACUAAUAAUAUAUUGACGCUGAGGGACGAAAGCGUGGGGAGCGAACAGGAUUAGAUACCCUGGUAGUCCACGCCGUAAACGAUGGAUACUAGCUGUUCGGAUUUAUCUGAGUGGCUAAGCGAAAGUGAUAAGUAUCCCACCUGGGGAGUACGUUCGCAAGAAUGAAACUCAAAGGAAUUGACGGGGGCCCGCACAAGCGGUGGAGCAUGUGGUUUAAUUCGAUGAUACGCGAGGAACCUUACCAGGGCUUAAAUGUAGAUUGACAGGUUUAGAGAUAGAUCUUUCUUCGGACUACUUACAAGGUGCUGCAUGGUUGUCGUCAGCUCGUGCCGUGAGGUGUCAGGUUAAGUCCUAUAACGAGCGCAACCCCUGUUGUUAGUUGCCAGCGAUUCAAGUCGGGAACUCUAACAAGACUGCCAGUGCAAACUGUGAGGAAGGUGGGGAUGACGUCAAAUCAUCACGGCCCUUACGUCCUGGGCCACACACGUGCUACAAUGGCGAGGACAGAGGGCAGCUACCUGGUGACAGGGAGCGAAUCUUUAAACUCUAUCUCAGUUCGGAUCGGAGUCUGCAAACCGACUUCUUGAAGCUGGAAUCGCUAGUAAUCGCGCAUCAGCCAUGGCGCGGUGAAUACGUUCCCGGGCCUUGUACACACCGCCCGUCAAGCCAUGGAAGUUGGGAGUGCCUGAAGUCCGUCACCGCAAGGAGCGGCCUAGGGUAAAAUUGGUAACUAGGGCUAAGUCGUAACAAGGUAACC